RNAcentral lists this long non-coding RNA (204 nucleotides) under Hordeum vulgare. Its description in RNAcentral is "long non-coding RNA (HVUL_LNC006717)". Lineage: Eukaryota; Viridiplantae; Streptophyta; Magnoliopsida; Poales; Poaceae. The record is from RNAcentral.
GCCCUAGAACCUAGUCACUAUUACUAAAAUGAGCACAUAAAGAGAAUGAAAGGUGCAAUGAAGCUUCAUCUCAGUCAAACAUGUUACAAUGACUAACAGUUAACUAGUCCUACAUUACAUUGUGAAAUGAGCACAAUAUGUGAUUUGACUUGUAACUAUAUUCAUGUGUGUAUACUAAGUGUGGGUGAUACAAUUGAAGCCCCA